AUGUCCGGCUCCGACCCACAGGGCCGGUGGAUGCCCUCCUCCGUCAUGGAAGAGGAUGUGCUAAAGCUGCGAGAAGCCAAGUACCUGACCUACGAGAUUUCGCAUAGGUUGCCCGCCAAAGGGCAAGUCAUUCCCACCCCCGAGCCCGGCGAGUAUGUCGUGUUUGUAUCCCACCUCCGUCGGGGUUUAGGCUUCCCGAUGGAUCCCUUUGUGAGAGGGCUCAUGUUUUACUAUGGGUUGGAAUUCCACGACUUGGCUCCGGAAUCCAUCCUCCAUAUUUCUUCAUUCAUCGUCGUCUACGAAGCCUUCCUCCGCGUCACCCCUCACUCCGUCUUGUGGCUUAAGACCCUCGACGUGGAGCCGAAGAUGAUUGAGGGGCGUCAAGCAGAGUGCGGCGGGGCGGUUGUAAGCAGAAGGGCUGACGUCCAUGGCCCUAGGGCUCUUUUCAGGAGGAGCUCGGCUUGUGGCAGUAGGAGUGGUUCUACAUAA
Molecule: ribosomal RNA, 489 nt
Filed under: Triticum aestivum (bread wheat)
Lineage: Eukaryota; Viridiplantae; Streptophyta; Magnoliopsida; Poales; Poaceae
Description: partial small subunit ribosomal RNA
Source: RNAcentral